AAAGUUCUGUUGCGCACGCGGCAAACGGGAGAGCUACAACCGUGGGAGAGAUAUACUGUUCAUGUUUGGUACAAAAGUUAAACAUAAGAAGACCAAAUAUCCCUGUUCCAGAGUGAAACAUAAGAGCCGGGGGAGGCUAUUUCUUCGGUUAUUGUCUGACGCUUUGCUUCGGUCAGGUUUUUUGAGUUGGAUUCCAAUACCAGAUUGCACUAGUGUGAGAACUGAAGUCUCCUACAUUCUGCUGAGGACUACUGGAAGACACUUUGAAGAACUCCAUUAAUGGAUGGCGAGCCACUGCCCAAAAGAACCUACCGACAGGCGUGACGUGAGCCUUGCUGAUGCGUAGAGGGUACUGCGUGGAGUUGAGCACUUCAUCUUCAUCCUGCUCAUCCAUCACCUUGCACUGGCGUAGAUAUGGGGUGAGUUUGGCUGGGUUGAGGAUUCGGGUCAGCUUGUGUCGUACUCCCUCCACACGAUCCCACAUCUCCUCGCAGCGCUCCUCAGUCCACGAGGGAGAAGAUCGCACUUCAUCCUGAACUAUGUCUGCCUCCUCCACAUAAAGUGUAACACCUGCGUGAGAACGGACACUUUUCAGUUCGAGGAAUUUGAGGAAGAAGAGCGUGGUCUGGAAAAUGAAGGCUCAGAGAUGUUCCUUAUUAAGGAUUAAGACUAAUUUCCACUUCCACCUCAUGUACACAUUUGCUGAUAUAUCUUAUAUCCAUCCUUAAAUAUUUUUCCCAUGGAGAACUGCAUUGGAAUUUGUUUCUCUGUGACUGCACUGAAAUUGGUUCAUUUUUGCAUUAAUUCCACAGACUCCAAAGAGUAACAGUCUUAAAUAAACUAUUUUAAAAUAAUCUCAAUCCCUAAUUAAAA
This is a long non-coding RNA of Amphiprion ocellaris (clown anemonefish), 873 nucleotides long. RefSeq lists it as uncharacterized. Lineage: Eukaryota; Metazoa; Chordata; Actinopteri; Pomacentridae. The transcript is spliced from 3 exons. The record is from RefSeq and is a predicted model, not a curated record.